CUACGGGUCGCUCCAGUGGGGAAUAUUGAGCAAUGGAGGAAACUCUGACGCAGCAAUGCCGCGUGAGUGAGGAAGGAUUUCGGUCUGUAAAGCUCUGUCAAAGUGGAAAAACGGCAGUGUAUCUAAUAGGUGCAUUGUUUGAUGGUACACUUAAAGGAAGCACCGGCUAACUUCGUGCCAGCAGCCGCGGUAAUACGAAGGGUGCGAGCGUUGUUCGGAUUUAUUGGGCGUAAAGCGCACGCAGGCGGAUGGUUAAGUCAGAUGUGAAAUCUCGGGGCUCAACCCCGAAACUGCGUCUGAAACUGUUCAUCUAGAAUCUCGGAGAGGGAAGGGGAAUUUCGCAUGUAGGGGUAAUAUCCGUAGAGAUGCGAAGGAACACCGGAGGCGAAGGCGCCUUCCUGGACGAGCAUUGACGCUGAGGUGCGAAAGCGUGGGGAGCAAACAGGAUUAGAUACCCGGGUAGUC
RNAcentral lists this ribosomal RNA (465 nucleotides) under uncultured bacterium. RNAcentral's name for it is "partial 16S ribosomal RNA". It matches the Rfam family "Bacterial small subunit ribosomal RNA", at positions 339 to 795 of the family's 1533-position model. The record is from RNAcentral.